UCUCAAGACUAAGCCAUGCAUGUCUAAGUAUGAACGCUUCGUACUGUGAAACUGCGAAUGGCUCAUUAAAUCAGUUAUAGUUUAUUUGAUGGUUGUUUGCUACAUGGAUAACCGUGGUAAUUCUAGAGCUAAUACAUGCAGAAGGUCCCGACUUCUGGGAGGGACGUAUUUAUUAGAUCCAAAACCAGCGCGGGUUGCCCUCGGGCUCCCGGUACCUGGAUGAUUCAUGAUAACUUCUCGAAUCGCACGGCCUUUGCGCCGGCGAUGGUCCAUUCAAAUUUCUGCCCUAUCAACUUUCGAUGGUACGGUAGUGGCCUACCAUGGUUGCAACGGGUGACGGAGAAUUAGGGUUCGAUUCCGGAGAGGGAGCCUGAGAAACGGCUACCACAUCCAAGGAAGGCAGCAGGCGCGCAAAUUACCCAAUCCCGACUCGGGGAGGUAGUGACAAUAAAUAACAAUGCCGGGCUCUUGUAGUCUGGCAAUUGGAAUGAGUCCAAUCUAAACCCCUUAACGAGGAACAAUUGGAGGGCAAGUCUGGUGCCAGCAGCCGCGGUAAUUCCAGCUCCAAUAGCGUAUAUUAAAGUUGUUGCAGUUAAAAAGCUCGUAGUUGGAUUUCGGGGCGGCCCGGCCGGUCCGCCGCAAGGCGAGCACUGGUCGGGCGCCCUUCCUCUCGAAGGCUUCGACUGCUCUUCGUUGUGGUGGUCGAGGAGUUCGGGACGUUUACUUUGAAAAAAUUAGAGUGUUCAAGGCAGGCCGUGGCCUGAAUACAUUAGCAUGGAAUAAUGGAAGAGGACCUCGGUCCUAUUUUGUUGGUUUCCAGGGCCGAAGUAAUGAUUGAGAGGGACAGUUGGGGGCAUUCGUAUUUAAUUGUCAGAGGUGAAAUUCUCGGAUUUAUGAAAGACGAACAAGUGCGAAAGCAUUUGCCAAGGAUGUUUUCAUUAAUCAAGAACGAAAGUUGGGGGUUCGA
Molecule: ribosomal RNA, 967 nt
Filed under: Dercitus luteus
Lineage: Eukaryota; Metazoa; Porifera; Demospongiae; Tetractinellida; Ancorinidae
Description: SSU rRNA
Rfam family: Eukaryotic small subunit ribosomal RNA
Source: RNAcentral